ACGCUAGCUACAGGCUUAACACAUGCAAGUCGAGGGGCAGCAUUUUAGUUUGCUUGCAAACUAAAGAUGGCGACCGGCGCACGGGUGAGUAACACGUAUCCAACCUGCCGAUAACUCGGGGAUAGCCUUUCGAAAGAAAGAUUAAUAUCCGAUAGUAUAUUAAAACCGCAUGGUUUUACUAUUAAAGAAUUUCGGUUAUCGAUGGGGAUGCGUUCCAUUAGUUUGUUGGCGGGGUAACGGCCCACCAAGACAACGAUGGAUAGGGGUUCUGAGAGGAAGGUCCCCCACAUUGGAACUGAGACACGGUCCAAACUCCUACGGGAGGCAGCAGUGAGGAAUAUUGGUCAAUGGACGAGAGUCUGAACCAGCCAAGUAGCGUGAAGGAUGACUGCCCUAUGGGUUGUAAACUUCUUUUAUAUGGGAAUAAAGUAUUCCACGUGUGGGAUUUUGUAUGUACCAUAUGAAUAAGGAUCGGCUAACUCCGUGCCAGCAGCCGCGGUAAUACGGAGGAUCCGAGCGUUAUCCGGAUUUAUUGGGUUUAAAGGGAGCGUAGGUGGAUUGUUAAGUCAGUUGUGAAAGUUUGCGGCUCAACCGUAAAAUUGCAGUUGAAACUGGCAGUCUUGAGUACAGUAGAGGUGGGCGGAAUUCGUGGUGUAGCGGUGAAAUGCUUAGAUAUCACGAAGAACUCCGAUUGCGAAGGCAGCUCACUAGACUGCAACUGACACUGAUGCUCGAAAGUGUGGGUAUCAAACAGGAUUAGAUACCCUGGUAGUCCACACAGUAAACGAUGAAUACUCGCUGUUUGCGAUAUACAGUAAGCGGCCAAGCGAAAGCAUUAAGUAUUCCACCUGGGGAGUACGCCGGCAACGGUGAAACUCAAAGGAAUUGACGGGGGCCCGCACAAGCGGAGGAACAUGUGGUUUAAUUCGAUGAUACGCGAGGAACCUUACCCGGGCUUAAAUUGCAUUUGAAUAAUCUGGAAACAGGUUAGCCGCAAGGCAAAUGUGAAGGUGCUGCAUGGUUGUCGUCAGCUCGUGCCGUGAGGUGUCGGCUUAAGUGCCAUAACGAGCGCAACCCUUAUCUUUAGUUACUAACAGGUCAUGCUGAGGACUCUAGAGAGACUGCCGUCGUAAGAUGUGAGGAAGGUGGGGAUGACGUCAAAUCAGCACGGCCCUUACGUCCGGGGCUACACACGUGUUACAAUGGGGGGUACAGAAGGCAGCUACCUGGCGACAGGAUGCUAAUCCCAAAAACCUCUCUCAGUUCGGAUCGAAGUCUGCAACCCGACUUCGUGAAGCUGGAUUCGCUAGUAAUCGCGCAUCAGCCAUGGCGCGGUGAAUACGUUCCCGGGCCUUGUACACACCGCCCGUCAAGCCAUGAAAGCCGGGGGUACCUGAAGUACGUAACCGCAAGGAGCGUCCUAGGGUAAAACUGGUAAU
This 1439-nucleotide ribosomal RNA is filed under the name uncultured organism. RNAcentral's name for it is "16S ribosomal RNA". It matches the Rfam family "Bacterial small subunit ribosomal RNA". The record is from RNAcentral.